UACGUAGGGUGCGAGCGUUAAUCGGAAUUACUGGGCGUAAAGCGUGCGCAGGCGGUGAGCUGUGUCCGAUGUGAAAGCCCCGGGCUUAACCUGGGAAUGGCAUUGGAAACUGGCUCGCUGGAGUGUGGCAGAGGGGGGUGGAAUUCCGCGUGUAGCAGUGAAAUGCGUAGAGAUGCGGAGGAACACCGAUGGCGAAGGCAGCCCCCUGGGUCAAGACUGACGCUCAUGCACGAAAGCGUGGGGAGCAAACAGG
This 253-nucleotide ribosomal RNA is filed under the name uncultured bacterium. RNAcentral describes it as "partial 16S ribosomal RNA". It matches the Rfam family "Bacterial small subunit ribosomal RNA", at positions 524 to 776 of the family's 1533-position model. The record is from RNAcentral.